This 443-nucleotide ribosomal RNA is filed under the name uncultured bacterium. Its description in RNAcentral is "SSU rRNA". It matches the Rfam family "Bacterial small subunit ribosomal RNA", at positions 369 to 808 of the family's 1533-position model. The record is from RNAcentral.
UCAUGGGCGCGAGCCUGAAACCAGCCAAGUAGCGUGAAGGAUGAAGGCUCUAUGGGUCGUAAACUUCUUUUAUAUGGGAAUAAAGUAUUCCACGUGUGGAAUUUUGUAUGUANNAUAUGAAUAAGGAUCGGCUAACUCCGUGCCAGCAGCCGCGGUAAUACGGAGGAUCCGAGCGUUAUCCGGAUUUAUUGGGUUUAAAGGGAGCGUAGGUGGAUUGUUAAGUCAGUUGUGAAAGUUUGCGGCUCAACCGUAAAAUUGCAGUUGAAACUGGCAGUCUUGAGUACAGUAGAGGUGGGCGGAAUUCGUGGUGUAGCGGUGAAAUGCUUAGAUAUCACGAAGAACUCCGAUUGCGAAGGCGGCCUACUGGGCACCAACUGACGCUGAGGCUCGAAAGUGUGGGUAGCAAACAGGAUUAGAUACCCUGGUAGUCCAAGGGCGAAUUC